CUGCUAUGUGAGCAGCGUCAUGGACCCCUGCUGGAGCCGGAGGAGAUCUUCACAUGACUCAGGAGGCGGUGACGCUCCUGAAAUCAAAACUGGAACAGAGAAAAGUCCAAGAACAAAUUGUUGUGUCGAACAUCUGGAACCUCUGGAACAUCUGGAACCUCUGGAACAUCUGGAGCAUCUGAAACAGCUGGAGCAUCUGGAGCAUCUGGAACAUCUGUAUUCAGCCUCCUCUCAUUCACCUACCUCAGGACGUCGGCCGCCCUCAGACGUCCUGUGGACCGCUGCCUGGCGUCUGUCAGAGGACGGCGUUGUUCAAAGUUCAGUCCUGAUACCGAAUGAGGGCGGGUUAAAGUCCUUCCACUGACCUCAGAUUGUAAAGAUGGAGGACGUGACAGCUCCCAAAGUGAAGCAGCACCUUUACAUAACCCUCCUCCUCCAUGUUAGCAGACAGGACACGGACCAAACUCAAAGUAGACGUUAAAUAAAUGUUUAAAGAUGGUUUCUGUCCUUUC
Molecule: long non-coding RNA, 512 nt
Organism: Hippoglossus stenolepis (Pacific halibut)
Lineage: Eukaryota; Metazoa; Chordata; Actinopteri; Pleuronectiformes; Pleuronectidae
Exons: 4
Source: RefSeq, a predicted model, not a curated record